CCUACGGGAGGCUGCAGUGGGGAAUAUUGGGCAAUGGACGCAAGUCUGACCCAGCAACGCCGCGUGAAGGAAGAAGGCUUUCGGGUUGUAAACUUCUUUUUAGGGGGAAGAGCAGAAGACGGUACCCCUUGAAUAAGCCACGGCUAAAUACGUGCCAGCAGCCGCGGUCAUACGUAGGUGGCAAGCGUUGUCCGGCUGUACUGGGUGUACAGGGUGUUCCGGCGGGGAGACAAGUGAGAUGUGAAAUCCACGGGCCCAAACCGUGAACUGCAUUUGAAACUGUUUCGAUUGAGUGUCGGAGAGGUAAACGGAAUUCCGUGUGUAGCGGUGAAAUGCGUAGAUAUAAGGAAGAACACCAGUGGCGAAGGCGGAUUACUGGACGAUAACUGACGGUGAGGCGCGAAAGCGUGGGGAGCAAACAGGAUUAGAUACCCUUGUAGUC
RNAcentral lists this ribosomal RNA (442 nucleotides) under uncultured bacterium. Its description in RNAcentral is "partial 16S ribosomal RNA". It matches the Rfam family "Bacterial small subunit ribosomal RNA", at positions 338 to 795 of the family's 1533-position model. The record is from RNAcentral.